CAGACAUGUGAAGGGCAACAAAGAAAACUGGAAUGUGGUUCCAAUGUAAUCCGUAUCCACACUGCCAGUUACGGGCGAACAGAUAAAACCACCUGCUCUGCUGGACGCCCUGCGAAUCAACUCAGCAGGACCGACUGCUCUGCAUCUACAACGCUCCCUAUAGUAAGGGAGAGAUGUGAAGGAAGGACGACAUGCCUUCUGAAGGCCUUAAACAGCAUCUUCUCUGAUCCGUGUGGUGGCAUCUACAAGUACCUCAACAUCUCCUACAGCUGUGUUCCUCCAAACAGUAAGGAACCGGAGCAUCCCAUCACCACAAGCUUGCACUAUAAUUGCAACAUGUUGAUUGUAACACAGAUGAUGAAUGUGGUUUUUAAGAUGUUACCC
Clupea harengus (Atlantic herring) is the source of this 384-nucleotide long non-coding RNA. RefSeq lists it as uncharacterized. The transcript has 3 exons. Lineage: Eukaryota; Metazoa; Chordata; Actinopteri; Clupeiformes; Clupeidae. The record is from RefSeq and is a predicted model, not a curated record.